RNAcentral lists this long non-coding RNA (255 nucleotides) under Lupinus angustifolius (narrow-leaved blue lupine). RNAcentral describes it as "long non-coding RNA (LANG_LNC000657)". Lineage: Eukaryota; Viridiplantae; Streptophyta; Magnoliopsida; Fabales; Fabaceae. The record is from RNAcentral.
UUAGAGAAAUGCGUUAUCUUUGUGUAGCCACAAAUAUCUCGAUUUUGGAAUUAUGUACAGUAUUUGUAAUCAUAUCCAUCGCUGCAAAUCAGCAUCAACAAUUUUGACUUCUGCUCAGUCUCUGUAUCCAUUAUCCAUCAUUCCCCAUUCUCACUCUCAACCUACAUUUCAUACUCCCAGAUCCCUCACUUACAGGUAACUAACUAACAAAACAAAUAAAACACUCUUCAAUCCACUCAUCUAUUUUUUGCCAAG